This is a long non-coding RNA of Phyllostomus discolor (pale spear-nosed bat), 821 nucleotides long. RefSeq lists it as uncharacterized. The record is from RefSeq and is a predicted model, not a curated record. NCBI's taxonomy places the organism in Eukaryota, Metazoa, Chordata, Mammalia, Chiroptera, Phyllostomidae. The transcript is spliced from 2 exons.
CGAUACGCCCCUGCCGGUGUUCUUUCCUUGCAAGUAUUUGUGUUUUGUAGUAAGAGGAGUCAUUCCACUUAAUAUGGGAUCCUUUGAGCUCUCAGGAGAUUUACAUAAAUGAAGGAUGGUAUUUAAAAACUUUAAUUGCAUUGAUUCUUAUCUCAAAGACCACCUAAUCUAAAUACCAUCUGGCUCAGAAAACUAGAGGUAUGGAAAAUCAGAGAAGCAUUUUCUCUGGAGAAAUUUCUACCAGGUAUUUCUAUGGAGUAAUAGAGGCCAAUAAAUAUAUUUUAAAAGUUUGAUCCCACAUCAAUUAAAAGGCAAAUCAUAUACCCGAUGAUAUUUACAAAUAAUUAAUAACCACAAAUAUGAUGGUCAUCUAUUGAACACCUGUUAGGUUCCAGACUGUAUCAGAUGUGUUCAUCACUUUGUCUCAUUCAUUUACUCUUCACAGGAAGCCUGCAUGUGAGCAACAUUCUCCAACUGCCCCCCGCCCCACCAUACAGAGAUGAAAGCCAAGGCUCAAAAAAGUGAAGGAAUUUACCCAAGUACUGGACGAGCUGCGCUUGAAGAACCAUCUCUCUUCACCUGGCUGACUUCCAUAAGCCUUGGUAUCUCUACUUCCCAUCGAGUCCUCGGGAAGCCCCACAGUGCCCGCCGAUGCUGUUGCGCCCAGCCCUCCCUGCCGUGAUCGCCAGUGUGCACGGCUGAGAUUUAUAGAUGGAAAAGAGAAGGGCUAACGGAGGAAAACGCUGCCUUCUGAAGUGCAAAUUCCUCCUCCCACGCCAUCGGAAAUGAUACAAAUAACAUAAUUAAACAUAUUGAUCGCC